GGGGCCGGAAACGGUUCACCUGGACGGUAAAGCCGCAUGCGGAGACGUCCGGGGAGGGGUUCGACUCCCCUCGGCUCCA
This 79-nucleotide transfer RNA is filed under the name Microlunatus parietis. RNAcentral's name for it is "tRNA-OTHER". Lineage: Bacteria; Bacillati; Actinomycetota; Actinomycetes; Propionibacteriales; Propionibacteriaceae. The record is from RNAcentral.